RNAcentral lists this ribosomal RNA (206 nucleotides) under uncultured Basidiomycota. RNAcentral's name for it is "partial 26S ribosomal RNA". It matches the Rfam family "Eukaryotic large subunit ribosomal RNA", at positions 62 to 261 of the family's 3401-position model. The record is from RNAcentral. Lineage: Eukaryota; Fungi; Basidiomycota.
AAACUAACAAGGAUUCCCCUAGUAACGGCGAGUGAAGAGGGAAAAGCUCAAAUUUAAAAGCUGUUGUCUUUCAGGCAACCGCAUUGUAAUCUCAAGAAGUGUUUUCGAUUGUAGCCUGCGUAUAAGUACCUUGGAAUAGGUUGGCAUAGAGGGUGAAACUCCCGUCUUUGAUGCAGAUUACUAUGAUCAUGUGAUACACUUUCUAA